This 433-nucleotide ribosomal RNA is filed under the name uncultured bacterium. Its description in RNAcentral is "partial 16S ribosomal RNA". It matches the Rfam family "Bacterial small subunit ribosomal RNA", at positions 29 to 507 of the family's 1533-position model. The record is from RNAcentral.
AACGAACGCUGGCGGCAUGCUUAACACAUGCAAGUCGAACGAGACCUCCGGGUCUAGGGGCGCACGGGUGCGUAACGCGGGGGAACCUGCCCUUAGGUUCGGAAUCACUCCCCGAAGGGGGUCCUAAUACAGGUUAAUGUCUUAGCACCAAAGAUGUAUCGCUUCUGGAUGGGCGCGGGUUGGAUUCGCCAGUUGGUAGGGUAAUAGCCUAUCAAGGAGUGGAUGCAUAGCUGGUCGGAGAGGAUGAUAAGCAACACUGGGACUGAGACCCGGACUAGACUGCGACGGGAGGGAGCAGUAUGUAGUAUUGUGCGAUGAGGGAAGGCGUAAUCCAGCAGUGCGGCGUAAGUGAUGAAGGCGUUAGGGUUCUAAAGCUCUUUUACCCGGAAUGAUAAUGACAGUACCGGGUGAAUAAGCACCGGCUAACUCCGUG